Molecule: ribosomal RNA, 493 nt
Filed under: uncultured bacterium
Lineage: Bacteria
Description: bacterial SSU rRNA
Rfam family: Bacterial small subunit ribosomal RNA
Source: RNAcentral
GAACGCUGGCGGCGUGCCUAAUACAUGCAAGUCGAACGCACAGCGAAAGGUGCUUGCACCUUUCAAGUGAGUGGCGAACGGGUGAGUAACACGUGGAUAACCUACCUCAAGGUUGGGGAUAACAUUUGGAAACAGAUGCUAAUACCGAAUAAAACUUCAUAUUGCAUGAUAAGGAGUUAAAAGGCGCUACGGCGUCGCCUAGAGAUGGAUCCGCGGUGCAUUAGUUAGUUGGUGGGUAAAGGCCUACCAAGACAAUGAUGCAUAGCUGAGUUGAGAGACUGAUCGGCCACAUUGGGACUGAGACACGGCCCAAACUCCUACGGGAGGCUGCAGUAGGGAAUCUUCCACAAUGGGCGAAAGCCUGAUGGAGCAACGCCGCGUGUGUGAUGAAGGCUUUCGGGUCGUAAAGCACUGUUGUAUGGGAAGAACAGCUAGAGUAGGGAAUGACUUUAGUUUGACGGUACCAUACCAGAAAGGGACGGCUAAAUACGUG